ACAUACACCUAUGCUUUUGAAAGACAGAACAAAACAAAAGAACAUGUCACAUCAUGUAACAGUACUUCCUACAUUAAGUGAAGACAAGAAUGACAUCACAGUAAAAAUACGGCAAAAUGUUUUACCAUUGUGAAGCUAAAGCAGCAAAUUUUAAAAUAGGAACAUUUCUUAAAUUAACUCAAAAUAACAACACUACUAAAUGGUUGAAGAGUGCUAUAAUUUGUUCAUUGGACUCUGAUCAUUUAGGAGUGCCAUCUUCAGAG
Molecule: long non-coding RNA, 263 nt
Organism: Octopus sinensis (East Asian common octopus)
Lineage: Eukaryota; Metazoa; Mollusca; Cephalopoda; Octopoda; Octopodidae
Exons: 3
Source: RefSeq, a predicted model, not a curated record